RNAcentral lists this ribosomal RNA (252 nucleotides) under uncultured bacterium. RNAcentral describes it as "partial 16S ribosomal RNA". It matches the Rfam family "Bacterial small subunit ribosomal RNA", at positions 524 to 776 of the family's 1533-position model. The record is from RNAcentral.
UACGUAUGUCGCAAGCGUUAUCCGGAUUUAUUGGGCGUAAAGCGCGCCUAGGUGGUUUGGUAAGUCUGAUGUGAAAAUGCGGGGCUCAACUCCGUAUUGCGUUGGAAACUGUCAAGCUAGAGUACUGGAGAGGUGGGCGGAAUUCCGAGUGUAGAGGUGAAAUUCGUAGAUAUUCGGAGGAACGCCGGUGGAGAAGGCAGCCCACUGGACUGAUAUUGACGCUGAAGCGCGAAAGCGUGGGUAGCAAACAGG